This 420-nucleotide ribosomal RNA is filed under the name uncultured bacterium. RNAcentral's name for it is "bacterial SSU rRNA". It matches the Rfam family "Bacterial small subunit ribosomal RNA", at positions 108 to 518 of the family's 1533-position model. The record is from RNAcentral.
GAGUAACGCGUAUGACCAACCUACCUAUCGAGGAAGGGGAACGUAACCCGGCGAAAGUCGGACUAAUACCGCAAUAAAACAGGGGCACCGCAUGGUGAUAUUUGUUAAAGAAAUUCGCUGAUAGAUGGGCAUGCGUUCCAUUAGGUAGUUGGUGAGGUAACGGCUCACCAAGCCGACGAUGGAUAGGGGAACUGAGAGGUUGGUCCCCCACACUGGUACUGAGACACGGACCAGACUCCUACGGGAGGCAGCAGUGAGGAAUAUUGGUCAAUGGGCGGGAGCCUGAACCAGCCAAGUCGCGUGAAGGAAGAAGGAUCUAUGGUUCGUAAACUUCUUUUGCAGGGGAAUAAAGUGCAGGACGUGUCCUGUUUUGUAUGUACCCUGAGAAUAAGGAUCGGCUAACUCCGUGCCAGCCGCCGC